GGGUGACCGACCUUCAGUGUGAAGGAAGCGAACCUCAUCUCCAAAACUGCAGUGCUUCCAUAUUCAAUCGGUCUUUCUCUGACUUCAUCGGCGUUGGCGUCCUGUGUUCAGGCCACUUGCAGUUACGACUCUCGGGAAGUGAAGAUCCAUGUGCUGGUCAGCUAGAGGUUUAUUACCGUGGAUCUUGGGGCAUGGUCUGUGACGACUCCUGGGAUCUGGUGGACACCAGCGUGGUCUGCAGACAACUGGGUUGUGGAUCUGCUUUGGAGUAUAAAACUCACGGUUACUGCGGAAGGCGCUCUCCCCCAGUUUGGUUAGAUGAAGUGAGAUGCUCGGGUAAGGAAACAUUUCUCUGGGAAUGUCCAUCAGCACCAUGGGCCGAACAUGACUGCAGUCAUAAAGAAGCUGUGACGUUGACUUGCUCCGAGCACAAAAAGUUGCGCCUGCAGGACGGAGGUAGUCGAUGCAAAGGAAGAAUUGAAGUGUGGUACAACGGGACCUGGGGAA
Long non-coding RNA from Mobula hypostoma (lesser devil ray), 507 nucleotides. RefSeq lists it as uncharacterized. Lineage: Eukaryota; Metazoa; Chordata; Chondrichthyes; Myliobatiformes; Myliobatidae. The transcript has 3 exons. The record is from RefSeq and is a predicted model, not a curated record.